This is a non-coding RNA of Nicotiana tabacum (common tobacco), 1417 nucleotides long. NCBI's taxonomy places the organism in Eukaryota, Viridiplantae, Streptophyta, Magnoliopsida, Solanales, Solanaceae. The record is from RefSeq and is a predicted model, not a curated record.
UAUGCAUUGACAGUUUAACAAUCUUUAUAUACUGUGUGUAUACAAAUUAAAUCUGUAGAAAUAUACCAAAAUGACAAAAAUCAACCUAAAAAGAUACGCAUAUAACUUUCCUGUGGAUAUUGUGGGCUCAGAUAAAGUAUUUGAAAGAAAGACCCUUUACUAGGAAACUUAGUGCUAAAGCUAAUUCUAUAUGUAUAUUAUUAGGAAAAAAAUUGUUUAAUUUGGUGUCAAGGAAACUUUAGAGUAAUAGUAAAGUUGUCUUUGUAUAAUUUAUAUAUCACGAGUUUGAGCCGUAAAAGCAUCCACUAAUGCUUGUAUUAGGGUAGGCUGUCUACAUCUCACCUCUUGAAUAUAGCCCUUAUCACGGAUUUGACCGAUUCCGUCGGAAAUUUCCGACUACUUUUUUCCGUCGGAAUAUUUCGGUCGGGAAUAAGCCGUUUUUUAGUAGUGUGAACCCUACGUGAACAGGAAAUACUUUGUAUCGGCCUUUAUUUUUUUUUGUGUCAAUGGCAAAGGGCCUAUGGCCAUAUAGGAGUAGAAAUUUAAUUUUCUUCACAUGGGUGUAUUAUUUUAUUUUUGUUUUAGCAAAAGGGGAAAUAAUAAGAAGAUGAAAAGAGUAGAAAAAGAUAAAAUGAAGCUAUAAAUAAGACAUACAAAAAGAUAGCUUUCUGUUUCUCAGUCUCACUUUUUCUUUCUUUUGCAUGCAUGGCCUCCACUGAUGAAAAAAUAUUCUUUUGAAAAUUGGCAAUAUUUGUGUUAUAUAACAGGGAAAGUUGGCAGUUGCAUGGCAAUAAAAAAGGAGAUUAUCCAGGAAACAUAUCUUAUCUAGAGCAGAAAGACAAUAUGGAAGCAAAAUGCUUAAGCUAUGAGGGAAUAUCAACAGAAGUGAGCUCAUCAACUAUAACAGAAGCAAGUCCAAAGAAGCCUAAUUUGGAGUUUACUUUGGGAAUAAUGCCUAAUAUUUCAUAGUACUACUCAUUUUGAAAUCAUUAUAUACUUUUUGACUACGAGAAAUAGUAAAAACACAAAAAAAAAGGAAGAAGAGAGAAUCAGGUUCCCACUGAGAUAAAAAUAAUAAUAAUAUAGGAAAGAAAAAGAAAAGGAAAAAGUGAGCUAAAGAAAGACAAAGAGACAAAGAAAAGGAGAAGGGAAUAGGAAAAGUGCAUGUAAUUAUUCCCAUUUUAAUAUUCUUUGUGACCUAUAAAUCAAACAAUAUAUUAAAUUGUUCCUUUCUUUCCCUACAAAUGAGGAAAAACAAAGAAAGUAAAUUUGAAUCUAAUUGAUUUUAAUAUUGUUAUAGUAGUAAGAGAUUAUAGUUACUAUAUAGAGAGUUGAGAGAGGAAGAAGUAAAUCUCUUUCCCUUGUUACAAUUGUAUGAUCAUUUACAUUUACCAAGAAAUAUAAUAUCUCCGACUCA